Molecule: non-coding RNA, 2036 nt
Organism: Triticum urartu
Lineage: Eukaryota; Viridiplantae; Streptophyta; Magnoliopsida; Poales; Poaceae
Source: RefSeq, a predicted model, not a curated record
UAACAAAAAUCAGGCGCGCUUGCUCUGUUUCCCCCAAAAUCGACCGCUGCUUUUCCCCCAAAUCAGGCGGGUCGCCAAAAUCCUCGGUGCCCGUCCACCACUCGUACGCAAUCCCACUCCCCAUCUCCUCGCUCCCCUCCCCCGCCCACUUCACCGCCGGCGACCGCGACGGCUCAUCUCCUCCCUCCUACAUCACCGCCGCCUGCAACCACCGGCGACCUUUCUCAUGGGCUCAACCCUAUCCCCCACCCUCCCCUCACGUUCUCUCCCAGAUCGGAUCGGAUCGAGAAUCAGCAGGUUAGCCGGUGGCCAGAUUCGCGGCGGUCCGUCUCUCGGGCCUCUUUUUUAUGCUCCCAGAUCAGAUCGAGCAGCAGGCCAUGGAGUUGGUGAAGUUGGCCCUCCUUCGUCAACUUGGUUAGAGGUCCAAGUUCGAGGGACCUGACGAGAAGGAGGACAAGGACCACCGGGAACCAAGACCUCCAUAUAGCCAUGGCAGCAGCCGCACCUUCCCCUUCCACAAGGUCUUCUCCUCCCCGCAACAUGCAUCUCUCUCUGUUCGUGGUGUACAAAUUCUUGAUUUUUUGUUCUAUGGUUAGAGUAAGUCAGUAGAAAAGUUUGACACUUGACGAAAUUCCAUGGUGAUUAGGUAUAGGAAUCCAUCCUAGGAAAGAUGAGAGCAAAGCUGCCUAUAUUGACGAAAUUCUUGAUUGUUGGAUCACGAGGAUCUAGGAUCUCUCUCUAUCGACAAAUCUGACUUGUUAGAUAGCACUUUCACUUAUAAGUACAGACAGAUGAAUUUGCAUCACUUUUUGUUCGGCAUGUGAAGACUAAGACGAGCGGACCCAUUUGUAAACAUCACUCAUGCAGAUUUGUUCCUAGUGUAGAUUUGGACACAAUCCCUCUUGACUUUGAGGUUUUUUCCCAUGUCAUCGCUACUCCGUUCGAAGCUAUUUUCUCUUCUGGUUGUGAAACCAAACUAUGGUGACGAGGUCCCUCUUGGGUUUGGUUUACUCUGAGGUUGUGCACCACGAUUCCAGGUUCUUGUGUAGUGGUAUGACCAAAUUCUGCAAUUCAUAUCAUAUCUUGUUCUAGAUGAUGCGUUUAUGGUUGAUGCUUAUGCUCAUGAAUGGCAUUUCAUUUUGCACCUGAUCUAGCUCACUGUCAUUGUUCCCUAAAAUUGCUACUGGAUAUACAUUGUUUGGUUAGUGCUUCCAUUCUUUGUGGACUAAAUUGGAUGAAGAAAAUGUGUUGAUUUUAUAUGGUAAAAGGUUGCUACCUUGCCCUAGAUGUCUACAUUACUAGUUAUGCUCUUUUCAUCUACAAAUAAAUUAUCACACUAGACUACCCUCUUAUUGCUCAUGUGGUCUUUUUUGGGAAGCCCAAUCCUGCUUUAUAAAUAACUUAUCACACCUCACUGCCCUGUUUAUUUUGUAGCUCACCAUUUGCUGUUGUACAUGCUGAUUGUAGUCAAUCUGUUGGAUGCCUCGACCUAGUUACAUCACAUAUUUUAAAAUCAAGGUGUAGUAGGUGUUCAUGGAAAAAGACAGAAAUUUUUAGGAGAUGAGGAGUUACUGAAACAUUGGCUGCAGCGCAAGGCCUCAAUGUGGCCAAAUCAACUCAAUGAACUACCAUGGUGUUAUUUAUGUGUAGGAGGAAAUGUUUUCGGAAUGACCUAAAACUUCACGAAGACACUUUUCAGAAAAUAAGAAAAAUACCUUCCAAAGAUGAAGGUCAGGGGGCCCACCACCUUGCCAUGAGGGUGGGGGGCGUGCCUCCCCCCUAGGGCGUGCCUCCCUACCUCAUGGGCCCCCUAUUGCCUCUCCAACUCCAAUUUCACUUUCAUAUAUUGAGUUUCAGGGAGAAACAAAUCAGAGAGAAGAAAUCAUCGCGUUUUACGAUACGGAGCCACCACCAAUUUUUAAAACCUCUCGGGAGGGCUGAUUUGGAGUCCGUUCGGGGCUCUGGAGAGGGAAAUCCGUCGCCAUCGUCAUCAUCAACCAUCCUCCAUCAUCAAUAUCAUGAUGCUCACCGCCGUG